RNAcentral lists this transfer RNA (74 nucleotides) under Actinomycetota bacterium. Its description in RNAcentral is "tRNA-Pro". It matches the Rfam family "tRNA". From Rfam's summary of the family: Transfer RNA (tRNA) molecules are approximately 80 nucleotides in length. Their secondary structure includes four short double-helical elements and three loops (D, anti-codon, and T loops). The record is from RNAcentral. Lineage: Bacteria; Bacillati; Actinomycetota.
CGGGGAGUGGCGCAGCCUGGUAGCGCACGUGCUUUGGGUGCACGAGGCCGGGGGUUCGAAUCCCCCCUCCCCGA